GGGUCAGUAGGUUGGUCGUGCCACCGGUACGUACUGGUCUCACUGAUUCCUCCUUCCUGAAGAACCGUAAUGCCAUUAAUUUGGUGUUGCGGGGAAACAGGACUGUUACUUUGAAAAAAUUAGAGUGUUUAAAGCAAGCUAACGCUUGAAUGCAUUAGCAUGGAAUAAAGAAAUAGGACGAUCGAUCCUAUUUUGUUGGUUUCUAGGAUUGACGUA
Molecule: ribosomal RNA, 216 nt
Filed under: Glomeromycotina sp.
Lineage: Eukaryota; Fungi; Glomeromycota
Description: partial small subunit ribosomal RNA
Rfam family: Eukaryotic small subunit ribosomal RNA (bases 40-216)
Source: RNAcentral